This 69-nucleotide transfer RNA is filed under the name Clavelina lepadiformis (light-bulb sea squirt). Its description in RNAcentral is "tRNA-Asp". Lineage: Eukaryota; Metazoa; Chordata; Ascidiacea; Aplousobranchia; Clavelinidae. The record is from RNAcentral.
CUAGGUUUAGAAUAUUUAAUAGUUCAUAUUUUUGUCAAAAAUAUAGUAUAAUAAUUUUUAUAACCUAUG